This 433-nucleotide ribosomal RNA is filed under the name uncultured bacterium. RNAcentral describes it as "partial 16S ribosomal RNA". It matches the Rfam family "Bacterial small subunit ribosomal RNA", at positions 29 to 507 of the family's 1533-position model. The record is from RNAcentral.
AACGAACGCUGGCGGCAUGCCUAACACAUGCGAGUCGAACGAUCCCUUCGGGGAUAGUGGCGCACGGGUGCGUAACGCGUGGGAACCUGCCCUUAGGUUCGGAAUAACUCAGAGAAAUUUGAGCUAAUACCGGAUAAUGUCUUCGGACCAAAGGUUUAUCGCCUUUGGAUGUGCCCGCGUUGGAUUAGCUAGUUGGUGGGGUAAAGGCCUACCAAGGCGACGAUCCAUAGCUGGUCUGAGAGGAUGAUCAGCCACACUGGGACUGAGACACGGCCCAGACUCCUACGGGAGGCAGCAGUGGGGAAUAUUGGACAAUGGGCGAAAGCCUGAUCCAGCAAUGCCGCGUGAGUGAUGAAGGCCUUAGGGUUGUAAAGCUCUUUUACCCGGGAUGAUAAUGACAGUACCGGGAGAAUAAGCCCCGGCUAACUCCGUG